RNAcentral lists this ribosomal RNA (492 nucleotides) under uncultured bacterium. Its description in RNAcentral is "partial 16S ribosomal RNA". It matches the Rfam family "Bacterial small subunit ribosomal RNA", at positions 29 to 523 of the family's 1533-position model. The record is from RNAcentral.
AAUGAACGUUGGCGGCGUGGAUUAGGCAUGCAAGUCGAGCGAGAACCCGCAAGGGGGACAGCGGCAAACGGGGUAGGAAUGAUUGGUGACGUACCCUCGGGACGGGGAUAGCCACGGGAAACUGUGGGUAAUACCCGAUAAUCUCCCAGGUUUGAAGACCUGGGUGCAAAGGUGUGAUUCCACCGGAGGAGCGGCCAAUCUGGUAUUAGCUAGUUGGUAGGGUAACGGCCUACCAAGGCUACGAUGCCUAGGGGGUGUGAGAGCAUGGCCCCCACCACUGGGACCGAGAUACUGCCCAGACACCUACGGGUGGCUGCAGUCGAGAAUCUUCGGCAAUGGGCGAAGGCCUGACCGAGCGACGCCGCGUGCGGGAUGAAGGCCUUCGGGUUGUAAACCGCUGUCAGAGGGGAUGAAGUUAUAGGAGGUUCUCCUUCUAUAUUGACAGAGCCUCAGAGGAAGCACGGGCUAAGUAUGUGCCAGCCGCCGCUGUAA